RNAcentral lists this ribosomal RNA (254 nucleotides) under uncultured bacterium. RNAcentral's name for it is "partial 16S ribosomal RNA". It matches the Rfam family "Bacterial small subunit ribosomal RNA", at positions 524 to 776 of the family's 1533-position model. The record is from RNAcentral.
UACGUAGGGGGCGAGCGUUGUCCGGAUUUAUUGGGCGUAAAGAGCUCGUAGGCGGUUCGAUAAGUCGGACGUGAAAUCUCCACGCUCAACGUGGAGGGGCCGUUCGAUACUGUCGUGACUCGAGUCCGGUAGGGGAGUGUGGAAUUCCCGGUGUAGCGGUGAAAUGCGCAGAGAUCGGGAGGAACACCCGUAGCGAAGGCGGCACUCUGGGCCGGUACUGACGCUGAGGGGCGAAAGCGUGGGGAGCAAACAGG